AAACGUCUUUUCCUAUCAUCAUGGCGUGUAAACACAUUACCGCUCUUCCUGACUUGCCAGUCUGGAAACCCAGCUAGAAAAAACAAUGACUAGCCCACCUUUCUCCCAGAAUGUGUACAAAUAGUAAAAAAAAAAAAAAAAAAAUUAAAUCUUUGUACUAUUCACCUGUUUCAGGGUAAAAAUUGUUAGUUAUUGCAGAGGCACUAGUUUUUCUUAAUUACAGAGUGGGCCCACUUUUGUUAGCAACAUCUUGGGGGGGUUCAUCUUUGGAAAUUGCUUUUGAAGCCUGUGGGACAGGUUUGGGAAUUAUUCUGUUGGUGGAAAUCUUUGCCUUCUUAACAGGUUUUCUUAAGUUUGGUGAAUAAACUGACUGAUCGUGUGUGUGUGUGCACGUGCAUUUUGAGUGUGGGGAAUGUACUAAGUUUGGGUUUGGGGGAUUGUUUUUUAACAUGGCUCAUGCCAGAAAUGUUUUGUGCAGCAUCAUUGGACUGAAUGUACGGCCUUCCAGGGUGUGACAGCUGCGAAGGAUAACCAGCAUCAAAUAUGUUAUUUCUAGCAUGUGGUAAAAACUCAUCCUCAUAGCCAUAUAGCCCGUCGGACGAGCUAAAAUUGUCCUGACUGGAUCGCCAAGGGGACAGGGGACCCACAGCCCCCUGCACAGCACAGGCCUAAGAGACUUGGCGUCUGUGCAGCGUGACCUAUGAAGGGACUUCGGGCAGGUAGUUUGCGUCUCUCCGCCUGGGCUCUCUCGUGUAAAGUAGGGCUCGCGGUAGACUGCAUAGAGUGUAACCAAGAAUGAAGUGGUUUUAGGUUCAGAGUGCUUAGAACAUUCCUUGCACAUAGUAAGCGUUAGCGUUUGCUAGAUACAUACAAAUUUGGGGCAGUGGCGGUUACUGAAAAGAUAGUAGCUGUCAGUACAGCUGACUUCAUUCUGUCAGGGACCCUCUGGGCAGUUGACAGAAGCCCAUAUUGGCUAAGGGAUGGUGGGGAAGGAGAAAUACAGCAGGCUCUUUGCUCUCCUUGGCAUUCAGGCGUGUACUAGGAACCCUGUUACCCUGCGGUGGGAGGAAAAGGGACCCUAAAUUUGGUGGAGAGACGUACUCAGAGAGCCUGCUGUAAAGAGGAGCCAGCGUGGCAUGGCAAAAACCUUUGGACUAGUCCUGGGUUCUAGUUCUUGGUCUGUGCUCUGCAACUGCUCAGCAUACCCAUGCAUGUGUUAGGUUAUUAACAGGAAGAAAGUUGGGGUCGGGAACGUUUGUGGAUGCUGUCACCUGCCACACAUUCUUAUUUGCAUCCCUGCCUUCCCUCAUUUUCUGAGGUAGUUGGGGUGUACAAGGACCCUGUACUACUGCGACGUGCCUAGUGGGGGAGGUGGAGGAGGGUGUCUAGGUGAGUCUGUCCUAUGUUUGAGAAAAACAGACAUUUUGGGGGAUUAGUUUUUUUCCAUAAUGGGUUGUAUGAGAGUCGAUAGUAAGGGACCUUCCAAAAGCUGUCACUCUCAGAGAACGUUUGUCCUGUUAAAUAUCUGUAGUGUACUAGCUGUGGAGUCCACUCUUAAUUACUGAAUUCUGUUUUAAGUUCUCUGCAUGUUUUGGGAGAUAUUACUGACCAGAUUUCAAGGCUGUUAUUAAACCAAUCCUGCAGAAGCUUUCAUUGUUUUGUUGGGUGUCAGCAUUUCCGCCCCGUCCCCACCUCAGCUCGACCCAUCACAGAUUAGAUGUGGAGGAACACUGGCCGCUUCUCCCUUAACACUCCAGCCAUCUGAGCAGGGAUGGGGAAUAGGGCUGUUGGGGAGGUGUUAGAGAUGUUGUAAUUAGCAUCUGCAGGUCGCUAAGGCAUGCUGGCUUUCCUUUUCCCCAAAUCCGAAAGCCAGCUCCUAGCUCCCUGCCAGUUGCCAGUAUUCUCAGUACUCUUGCCUCUUACUGCCUGUCUUGAUCAUGAAAUGAGCCCUUUGAUGCUCUUUCAGCUCCUGUGUUCAUCAUAAUACAUCCUUUUACCCUAACUUUUUAUCGUAUUCCCUUUAAAGACAAAGUCCCUCACCCAUACAAGGCUUAUUGAGUAGUGAGCCCUUGUAACAGCACUAUGUCUGUGAACAAAUCUGGAAAUAAAGUCCUGUGAACAGGGUUGAGGUGGGUGAGCGGAGGCUGGGGGAGUCGCCGUCUCCACCCUGGGUGGGUGGUGGUGGCAGUGCACUACCAGGGGCUGAGGAAGCUCUUCCCCUGGGGUUCUUGUUCUCCAAGGAGUGGGAUGCGGCUGGAGAUGAAGAGUGGGGGGAGUUUGAAAUCUGCAUGUGAUCAAGAGCCUCCUUGCGUGUGUCCGAGGGAUGUAGAAGCCGCUUCUUGCAGGCCGGCUGGGAUGAGGAAGCCACAUUCCACCUUCCCCUAAG
Molecule: long non-coding RNA, 2386 nt
Organism: Phyllostomus discolor (pale spear-nosed bat)
Lineage: Eukaryota; Metazoa; Chordata; Mammalia; Chiroptera; Phyllostomidae
Exons: 2
Source: RefSeq, a predicted model, not a curated record